This 520-nucleotide ribosomal RNA is filed under the name uncultured Glomus. RNAcentral's name for it is "SSU rRNA". It matches the Rfam family "Eukaryotic small subunit ribosomal RNA", at positions 569 to 1090 of the family's 1831-position model. Lineage: Eukaryota; Fungi; Glomeromycota; Glomeromycetes; Glomerales; Glomeraceae. The record is from RNAcentral.
AGCAGCCGCGGUAAUUCCAGCUCCAAUAGCGUAUAUUAAAGUUGUUGCAGUUAAAAAGCUCGUAGUUGAAUUUCGGGGUUAGUAGGUUGGUCAUGCCUCUGGUAUGUACUGGUCUCACUGAUUCCUCCUUCCUGAUGAACCUUAAUGCCAUUAAUUUGGUGUUUUGGGGAAUUUGGACUGUUACUUUAAAAAAAUUAGAGUGUUUAAAGCAAGCUAACGCUUGAAUACAUUAGCAUGGAAUAAUGAAAUAGGACGUUCGAUCCUAUUUUGUUGGUUUCUAGGAUUGACGUAAUGAUUAAUAGGGAUAGUUGGGGGCAUUAGUAUUCAAUUGUCAGAGGUGAAAUUCUUGGAUUUAUUGAAGACUAACUACUGCGAAAGCAUUUGCCAAGGAUGUUUUCAUUAAUCAAGAACGAAAGUUAGGGGAUCGAAGACGAUCAGAUACCGUCGUAGUCUUAACCAUAAACUAUGCCGACUAGGGAUCGGAUGAUGUUAAUUUUUUAAUGACUCAUUCGGCGCCUUA